RNAcentral lists this unclassified non-coding RNA (203 nucleotides) under Hevea brasiliensis (rubber tree). Lineage: Eukaryota; Viridiplantae; Streptophyta; Magnoliopsida; Malpighiales; Euphorbiaceae. The record is from RNAcentral.
GGAAAAAAAAAAGAUAAAAGAAAAGGGCUUGAGAACUGAUUUUGAUUUGCGGAAGUGUUGGGCUACCUUGUUAAUUGUUUUGCUAAUAAUAAAUCCACCUAAUAAAAAUUUACAAAAUGCCUCCCAUAUUCCAACAAUUCAAAACCAUUUUCUGGCAAAACAUUUACUUGAAAUCCAAAUUCAAAUCUCCAACCAUACCCACC